This 424-nucleotide ribosomal RNA is filed under the name uncultured bacterium. RNAcentral describes it as "bacterial SSU rRNA". It matches the Rfam family "Bacterial small subunit ribosomal RNA", at positions 356 to 773 of the family's 1533-position model. The record is from RNAcentral.
GGGGAAUAUUGGACAAUGGGGGCAACCCUGAUCCAGCGAUGCCGCGUGGGUGAAGAAGGCCUUCGGGUUGUAAAGCCCUUUAGGUCGGGAAGAAGGUUAGUAGAGGAAAUGCUAUUAAUUUGACGGUACCGACAGAAUAAGCACCGGCAAACUCUGUGCCAGCAGCCGCGGUAAUACAGAGGGUGCGAGCGUUAAUCGGAUUUACUGGGCGUAAAGGGCGCGUAGGCGGUGAGAUGUGUGUGAUGUGAAAGCCCCGGGCUUAACCUGGGAAGUGCAUCGCAAACUGUCUGACUGGAGUAUAUGAGAGGGUGGCGGAAUUUCCGGUGUAGCGGUGAAAUGCGUAGAUAUCGGAAGGAACGUCGAUGGCGAAGGCAGCCACCUGGCAUAAUACUGACGCUGAGGCGCGAAAGCGUGGGGAUCGAAC